Alnus glutinosa is the source of this 460-nucleotide long non-coding RNA. RefSeq lists it as uncharacterized. The record is from RefSeq and is a predicted model, not a curated record. The transcript has 3 exons. Lineage: Eukaryota; Viridiplantae; Streptophyta; Magnoliopsida; Fagales; Betulaceae.
GAGGCCAUUGAAGGUGUCAAUCUCCAAAGGAUCAAAAGAUUCAUGGGUUUCUCUAUCUUAUUUCGCCCUCUCAUUCUGAUCAUAUUCAUUGCCUCCAUCUUUACCAUGCAGCUAUCUCAGGUUAACGCAGGUAUGGAGGUGAGAAAAUUACUUGAUGGCAGACCCUUGCCAAAUCCACCGCCUGCUCCCUCUUCAAACGUGCCGUAGCAUCAAAUCCCACCGGAGGCACCACCUCUCGCAAAAAAUAAGAGUCUGAGCUUUCCUCCACGAAUGAGAUUCAUGCAACAGUGUCGGGCCUCUAAUGUGCUAGCCUUUACAAUCAAGAGGCAGCGAGGAUGUCUGCUGAGGGAGCCUGGAUGCCGGCUGUUCGUUGUAGCUACUGUGAUAGUGUGAUGUGCUUUGCUGUUUGCCUUAUCUUGAAUAUCAACCACAUAAGUGGAUCAAAUCGAUUAAUAUUCUU